This 489-nucleotide ribosomal RNA is filed under the name uncultured bacterium. Its description in RNAcentral is "bacterial SSU rRNA". It matches the Rfam family "Bacterial small subunit ribosomal RNA", at positions 28 to 514 of the family's 1533-position model. The record is from RNAcentral.
GAUGAACGCUAGCGGCAGGCUUAAUACAUGCAAGUCGAGGGGCAGCACGGUUAGCAAUAACUGGUGGCGACCGGCGCACGGGUGCGUAACACGUAUACAGUCUACCUUAAACAGGGGGAUAGCCUUUCGAAAGAGAGAUUAAUACCCCGUAAUAAAUUGAACGGCAUCGUUUGAUUUUGAAAGCUCCGGCGGUUUGAGAUGAGUAUGCGUCUGAUUAGCUAGUUGGUGAGGUAACGGCUCACCAAGGCGACGAUCAGUAGGGGAUCUGAGAGGACUAACCCCCACACUGGUACUGAGACACGGACCAGACUCCUACGGGAGGCAGCAGUAAGGAUAUUGGUCAAUGGAGGCAACUCUGAACCAGCCAUGCCGCGUGCAGGAUGACGGCCCUAUGGGUUGUAAACUGCUUUUAUACAAGAGAAAACCCUGGUACGUGUACCAGGUUGAUAGUAUUGUAAGAAUAAGCAUCGGCUAACUUCGUGCCAGCAG